AUUGUUUAUGUUACAGAAUAGUGUGGCUGUAACCAACAAUUGCCAGCACACGUACUCAAAGUUGYUAGAUGUGGUAUUCAUACGCAGACUAUGUUUAUGUCCUUUUACAAUCAAGACUAAAACAAUGCCUCCACAAGGAUCAUAUGUGAGAGCCGUCUGUUUUCUCAGAAAUAGUUCUGUUCCUAUUCGGAGAUGCAGUCGACACAUGACUCAUGAAUUUC
This is a long non-coding RNA of Exaiptasia diaphana, 221 nucleotides long. RefSeq lists it as uncharacterized. NCBI's taxonomy places the organism in Eukaryota, Metazoa, Cnidaria, Anthozoa, Actiniaria, Aiptasiidae. The transcript is spliced from 3 exons. The record is from RefSeq and is a predicted model, not a curated record.